GUGCAGCAGUCGCGAAACCUUCGCAAUGCGGGAAACCGCGACGAGGGGACUCCCAGUGCCUACGCUCAGCGUAGGCUGUUCCCGAGCCUAGAAAGCUCGGGGAGUAAGGGCUGGGUAAGACGGGUGCCAGCCGCCGCGGUAAUACCCGCAGCCCGAGUGGUGGCCACUAUUAUUGGGCCUAAAGCGUCCGUAGCCGGCCCGGUAAAUGCCUGGGUAAAUCGUGAGGCCUAACCUCACGAAUUCCGGGUAGACUGCCGGGCUAGGGACCGGAGGAGGGAGAGGGUACUCCAGGGGGUAGGGGUGAAACCCCUGUAAUCCCUGGAGGACCACCGGUGGCGAAGGCGCUCUCCUAGGACGGGUCCGACGGUGAGGGACGAAAGCCAGGGGAGCGAACCGGAUUAGAUACCCCUGUAGU
RNAcentral lists this ribosomal RNA (415 nucleotides) under uncultured microorganism. RNAcentral's name for it is "bacterial SSU rRNA". It matches the Rfam family "Archaeal small subunit ribosomal RNA", at positions 330 to 745 of the family's 1478-position model. The record is from RNAcentral.